Molecule: long non-coding RNA, 387 nt
Organism: Bombus huntii
Lineage: Eukaryota; Metazoa; Arthropoda; Insecta; Hymenoptera; Apidae
Exons: 2
Source: RefSeq, a predicted model, not a curated record
UAUUGCUUACGUAAUGUUGAUAUUGAGUAGUACCAUACAUAACCUCAACAUUAUGAUACUUACAAACAUCGCUAAACAAGUAGUGCGAACGAUGUCGACAUUUCGCUUGGCGUUGGUACAACUUGAAGUAAAUGAAGUAAAACGCAAAAAUGUAGAGCGGGCAGUUUCCUACAUUUCUAGCGCAAAAGAGCGCAAUGCUGAUAUUAUAGCUCUUCCUGAAUGCUUUAAUUCACCAUAUGGAAUACGUAAUAAUUUGUUUUUUUUUUCAAUAAUUUACCAUGUGUGUAACAACUAUAUAGAAAAAAGUAAAAGUAGACAAAUUACCUUACCGUUUAUACUUCCAUAAAGAUUGUGAAUUGAGUCGAGAAUAUAGGAUUUCCCCAUUUU